UCAAGAAACCUGUGAGUGUUUGGGAGGCACCUGGCCUAUCUUCUCUGCAUGUCAAUCAGCACCCAGAGAGACCCUGAAUUAUCCAUAUUCCUUUGAAAUCCUAAGGGUGAUUUCCAGAGGUAACAAAUAGGCAGUAUCACUGUAAUUUACGUAUUUAUUUUUGCAUUGUCUAAAAUAAAACCAAA
This 185-nucleotide long non-coding RNA is filed under the name Anas platyrhynchos platyrhynchos (common mallard). RNAcentral's name for it is "lncRNA (ENSAPLG00000026905.1)". Lineage: Eukaryota; Metazoa; Chordata; Aves; Anseriformes; Anatidae. The record is from RNAcentral.